GAUGAACGCUGACAGAAUGCUUAACACAUGCAAGUCAACUUGAACUUCGGUUUGGGUGGCGGACGGGUGAGUAACGCGUAAAGAACUUGCCUCACAGUUAGGGACAACAUUUGGAAACGAAUGCUAAUACCUGAUAUUAUGAUUUUAGGGCAUCCUAGAAUUAUGAAAGCUAUAUGCGCUGUGAGAGAGCUUUGCGUCCCAUUAGCUAGUUGGAGAGGUAACGGCUCACCAAGGCGAUGAUGGGUAGCCGGCCUGAGAGGGUGAUCGGCCACAAGGGGACUGAGACACGGCCCUUACUCCUACGGGAGGCAGCAGUGGGGAAUAUUGGACAAUGGACCAAGAGUCUGAUCCAGCAAUUCUGUGUGCACGAUGAAGUUUUUCGGAAUGUAAAGUGCUUUCAGUUGGGAAGAAAAAAAUGACGGUACCAACAGAAGAAGUGACGGCUAAAUACGUGCCAGCAGCCGCGGUAAUACGUAUGUCACAAGCGUUAUCCGGAUUUAUUGGGCGUAAAGCGCGUCUAGGUGGUUAUGUAAGUCUGAUGUGAAAAUGCAGGGCUCAACUCUGUAUUGCGUUGGAAACUGUGUAACUAGAGUACUGGAGAGGUAAGCGGAACUACAAGUGUAGAGGUGAAAUUCGUAGAUAUUUGUAGGAAUGCCGAUGGGGAAGCCAGCUUACUGGACAGAUGCUGACGCUGAAGCGCGAAAGCGUGGGGAGCGAACAGG
This 722-nucleotide ribosomal RNA is filed under the name uncultured Fusobacterium sp. Its description in RNAcentral is "bacterial SSU rRNA". It matches the Rfam family "Bacterial small subunit ribosomal RNA", at positions 28 to 776 of the family's 1533-position model. Lineage: Bacteria; Fusobacteriati; Fusobacteriota; Fusobacteriia; Fusobacteriales; Fusobacteriaceae. The record is from RNAcentral.